AGUCUGGUGCCAGCAGCCGCGGUAAUUCCAGCUCUAAUAGUGUAUAUUAAAGUUGUUGCAGUUAAAAAGCUCGUAGUUGAACUUCUGAUUGUUGCUAGUGUUAGCCUUGAGUUAUGCUAGCGGCGAUCAUCCGUCUGCGAGACGUAUUCGUCCUUCACUGGUCGGUGCGUGGAGUAGACAAUUUACCUUGAAAAAAUUAGAGUGUUUCAGGCAGGCCUGUGCCGGAAUACAUUAGCAUGGAAUAAUGGAAUAGGACUCGUCCAUUUUGUUGGUUAUUGGAGCCGAGUAAUGAUUAAUAGGGACAGUUGGGGGCAUUAGUAUUUAAUUGUCAGAGGUGAAAUUCUUGGAUUUAUUAAAGACUAACUUAUGCGAAAGCAUUUGCCAAGGAUGUUUUCAUUAAUCAAGAACGAAAGUUAGGGGAUCAAAGACGAUCAGAUACCGUCCUAGUCUUAACUAUAUACUAUACCGACUCGGGAUCGGCAGGGCAUUUUACCUCUGUCGGCACCGUAUGAGAAAUCAAAGUCUUUAGGUUCUGGGGGGAGUAUGGUCGCAAGGCUGAAACUUAAAGGAAUUGACGGAAGGACACACCAGGUGUGGAGCCUGCGGCUUAAUUUGACACAACACGGGGAAACUUACCAGGUUAAAACAUCGUUGGGAUUGACAGAUUGAGAGCUCUUUCUUGAUUCGAUGGGUGGUGGUGCAUGGCCGUUCUUAGUUGGUGGAGUGAUUUGUCUGGUUAAUUCCGUUAACGAACGAGACCUUAACCUGCUAACUAGUUCUCUGGUUAAUCACUGGAGCAACUUCUUAGAGGGACUAUGGGAUUGAAGCCCAUGGAAGUUUGAGGCAAUAACAGGUCUGUGAUGCCCUUAGAUAUCCUGGGCCGCACGCGCGCUACAAUGACACUCUCAGAAAGUUCUAUCCUGGUCCGGAAGGAUUCGGGUAAUCUUUUUAGUAGGUGUCGUGUUAGGGAUCGAUCUUUGGAAUUAUAGAUCUUGAACGAGGAAUAUCUAGUAUGUGCAAGUCAUCAGCUUGUACAGAUUAUGUCCCUGUCUUUUGUACACACCGCCCGUCGCUGCUACCGAUCGAGUGAUCCGGUGAACCUUUUGGAUUGAAAGCUGUCUCGUGCAACUUUUGAGAAGCUAAGUAAACCUUAUCACUUAGAGGAAGCAGAAGUCGUAACAAGGUU
RNAcentral lists this ribosomal RNA (1186 nucleotides) under metagenome. RNAcentral describes it as "SSU rRNA". It matches the Rfam family "Eukaryotic small subunit ribosomal RNA", at positions 558 to 1801 of the family's 1831-position model. The record is from RNAcentral.